Molecule: ribosomal RNA, 205 nt
Filed under: uncultured bacterium
Lineage: Bacteria
Description: partial 16S ribosomal RNA
Rfam family: Bacterial small subunit ribosomal RNA
Source: RNAcentral
UACGGAGGGUGCAAGCGUUAAUCGGAAUUACUGGGCGUAAAGCGUGCGUAGGUGGUUCGUUAAGUCCGUUGUGAAAGCCCCGAGCUCAACUUGGGAAUUGCAGUGGAUACUGGCGAGCUGGAGUGCGGUAGAGGAAGGUGGAACUCCCGGUGUAGCGGUGGAAUGCGUAGAGAUCGGGAAGAACACCCGUGGCGAAGGCGGUGUG